This is a non-coding RNA of Callithrix jacchus (white-tufted-ear marmoset), 5019 nucleotides long. The record is from RefSeq and is a predicted model, not a curated record. Lineage: Eukaryota; Metazoa; Chordata; Mammalia; Primates; Cebidae.
AAGACCCAGAAGGCCAGCUUUGAAGAAAACCUGGAGAAAGAGAGAGUCACAAAUCAUCCCCUGACUGCAGGAGACACAGAAAUGGCAGAAGGAUAAUGAAGCUCCAAUCUUCAAAAACUUCAUGGGUUAAAGGAGUCACCCAGCUGCUAGGCUGGUCAAAGGGCACACCAGUCACAAAUAUACAGAAGUACCUGAUCUCUUCAAAGUCUAAGGUUUGGAGCUAUCGCUGUGAGCUACCUCUUCCAGUACAACCUGCUUAGCCUUAUGGCACCUUUACUCUGGCUGGAUACUCUCUGGGUUGCAUGCCUUGUCCCAGACAUCCUGGAACACCAACCCUCCCAGCAAUUCCAGGGGUCUCUUGACUACAGAAGACAGCACUACAUUCUCAGCUGGCUGCUGAAGUCCUUCUUGGUUCCAUCCAGCACAUGGCAAAUACCACCAUUGCGCUUGCCUCCUGUAGGGAUCAUAGGUUAUGCUGUCAAACGCUAAUGCAGCCCAGUCACCACUCUGAGGAACCCUUGGUCAGCCUUCUUCUAGCUGGGAGCCACCUCCCAAAGCUGUGGUCCCCCGUGCCUGUCCAGCCAUUCUGAGACUGAAGAGAUCAACAUUUUAUCGCACAACAGUUACCUUUUUGAUGCCAGAGCACACUGAUUGGGAAGCUCUGUUUUAAGGUUUCUUGCAAGCAGGGACUGGACUUCUGCUUAUUCGAAAUUCCCUACCUCAAUUGCAACCAGCAUACUGAUGGGCACCAGGUACUCCAGUGGUUCUAAACCCUGAACACACAUCAGAAUCACCUACAGAUGUUUGGGUUCUAUUCCCCAGGGCAAUGGUUCACAUAGUUUGAUUCCCUGGACCAGCAGCACCAGUAUCACCUGAGAAUUUGUUAGAAAUGCAACUUAUCAAGCCCUACCCACAACCUACACAAUCAGAAACUCUGGGGUAGGGCCCAGCAGUCUAUGAUUUUGAAAUCCACUAAGAUUUGAGAAUUGCUGCACUAAGGACUCUGAUUUAGAAGGUAUGGAGUGGAGUUCAGAAAACUUUAUGGAAAAAGUACCAUUAUCUGGCAAACUCCAUGAGGUCAAAGUAGGGUCCAAUUUUGUAUGCCAUUAUACCUCAAGUGCCUGUAUUAGUGCCUGACACAUGGUCUGGACUAGAAAGUAUUUGUGGAAUAAAAGAAAGAAAUGCAGUUUGUGAGGCCCAGGUAUAGGGCAACUAUAUUUCUCAGUGUCUGGUGACUUUUAUAGAAAUUAGAUACAAGUUCUUUGGAAGAUAAAUAUUCCCUUUGAAGGUGCCAUUUAUUGCAAGGCCUCAAUUAUUUAACAAAUGAUGCACUUGUGGCUCAUUUAGUAGCUCCAACUAGUGAUUUGGCUUAUGAGAGAAUUUUGAAAAACAAUCCAAAAAGUCAGACUUUAGAAACCUAAAUGCCUUUACCAAAUUAAAGGUAACUUUGAAUUUUUUUGUUUUUGUUUUUGUUUUUUUUGAGACGGAGUUUGAUUCUUGUUGCCCAGGCUGGAGUGCAGUGGCGCAAUCUUGGCUCACUGCAACCUCCACCUCCUGGGUUCAAAUGAUUCUUGUGCCUCAGCCUCCUGAGUAGCUGGUAUUACUGCCGCCUGCCACCAUGCCCAGCUAAUUUUUUGUAUUAUUAUUAGAGACGGGUUUUUACCAUGUUGGCCAGCCUGGUCUCAAACUCCUGACCUCAGGCAAUCCACCUGCCUUGGCCUCCCAAAGUGCUAGGAUUAUAGACGUGAGCCACCCUGCCUGGCCUGCAUUUUUUUUCUGUCAGGAGCACUUACCACAUUGAGUUCUUUGGGGAUUUCUCAUCUUCUUGACUACAGUGAGGACACUAUGAGCUCUUGUACUCUACAGAAAAAAGGAAGAAAAUUCUUCUGCAUUUCACCUUCAAAAUAUAGGUAGAAUAAACUAAAGCUACAGCAGACUAGGAUUUCCAAGAGACCAUUAUAUAUAUUCAAAUAACAAGUUGUCAGAGAGUGUACUCUGUUCUUUAAACAGCUUGUCAUUGAUGCAUUGAUUCUACUACCUGAAAAUUGUGGUGUAAGACCAAACAGAGAAUGCUGAAAGGUAUUCCUUCUCUCAGAGAGCUCACAGCACAGCAGAGAAACGAGAGCAGGAAAGACAAAUAACUACAACCCCUCUUGAUCCUCCUUAGUAGUCAAUAGAGCCCUUUCCAAUGUUUUUCUUUAUCUGCUUAUUUGUGAAUUUGUUGUCUUCCCACCUCACUAGAACAUAAGUGAAAGAAAUCUCAUUUACCACCACAUCUGACUGGCAUUGAGGAUAUUUCCUGGUGCUGGUGGACACAAUAAAUAUCUCUUGAAUGGAAUGCCGGUGAAGGAAACACAAAGUUAAACACAUGAAUUACUACUUUUAAAAUAUUAGAUCCCACACUGAGGCAUUUAUUUUCAUGUUCUCUGAUGAAGAAUCAUGCUCUGGAUUCACAUGGAUCUGCGGGGUUCAAGUCUUGGUUCUGAAACUUGACUCUGUGUGGUCUUAACCACAUUGCUUAACUUUUGACAGCUGCUGCCUCCAACGAUACUCUAUAUUGUCUCACCUGAAGUUUAAUUUAUCUCUAAGUCUUUUCUUUAAGAUAAGCCAAAAAAUGUCCCAUAAUAUUGAAAAGUGUAUUUCACUGGUUCCAAGGACUCCUCACUUAAAACUUUGAAAUUACAACUAUUUUUAUGAAAAACUAUGUAUGUUACAUUAAAUUUAUAUUCUUAUUAUUUUUGUAGAAGGCUCUUUAGCUGCCUCAAAGUGCUAAAUUAUCUUUUUCAUAAGAGGAUAAUUUAACCCAGCAACAUUGUGAUAACUCGCCAUGACUUCCAAAUAUAGCUCCAAUUUACCCAAGCAAUAUUAAAGGACUUUUAAAAUUAGGAGCACAGCUAAAGAAUUUCCUCCUUGGUUUUACAAGUAAAAUUAACGUGACUGCGAAUAACUUUAAAACGUGAGACAAGACUUAUUUACCUUAAGAGUAUUAUUGUUUAGUCUAUUGAAGUAAUUUUAAAUUCCACUCUUAUUAUUUUAGGCGUCAAUAACUCCAACAAAAAGUUUUUAUUUGUACAUAUAGAUAUAUGUGUUAUGUUUAUAUAAUCACUAAAUGAAUGUUUUUAGAACCAUGUUUUUCAAACUUUUUCUUCCCAUUGGUGAAAUGAGAUGGUCUUUUCCAUGAGUUUUCUAAAUAAGCUGCAAGAUUCCUUCUCACGUGUUCUGUGAGAUGUACUUUCUGGUAGUGAGACGCCUAGCCACCAACCUGGGACAACCAUGAGACCUGGUGAGAGAAUUGUUAAAUCAUGAAACUCUCCAAGCUUCUAGUGCUCUAUAGGUAAGGUCAGAAUUGUAACACCUGUCCUACUUUACAGAUCAAAUAAAAAAUUGUGUAUAAGAGUGCUGUGGUUUGACUGUGUCCUCCAAAGUUCAUGUGUUGGAAACUUAAUUCCAAAUGCAACAGUAUUGAGAAGUGGGACAUUUAAGAGGUGAGUAGGAAACAAGGGCCCUGCCUUCAUGAAUGAAUUAAAUGCUGUAUUGCAAGAGUGGAUUCCUAAUAAAAGGAUGAGACAAGUUGGGCAUCAUUUCCCUUCUUCUCUUUUAAUCGCCUCACUUCUGUCUUCUACAAUGGGAUGACAAGCAAGAAGAUCUUCACUAGAUGCUGGUGCUUUGAUAUUGAACUUUGCAGCAUCUAGAACUGUGAGAAAUAAAUUUCUCUUCUUCAUAAAUUAUCCAGUCUGGGAAACACCAUUAUAACAUGACACAGAGAAAGACAAAGUGUUCCAUAAGUGGAAAAACUAUAUAUACAUAUGUGUGUAUGUAUAACAGCAUAUGUAUAUAUAGUACUGUAUCAGCAUAACACUAAACACUACAUAUGUAUAAAUAUGUAUAUACAUAUACAGCCAUGCAUCACUUAACAAUGGGGAUACAUUCUGAGAAAUGUGUCAUUAGGCAGUUUCUUCAUCAUGCAAAGAUCAUAGAGUGUACUUACAAAAACCUAGAUGGUACAGCCUACUACAUGCCUAGGCCAUGUGGUCUAGCCUAUUGCUCCUGGGCUACAAACCUGUGCAUGUUACAAUACUGAAUACAGGAGGCAAUUGUAACAUGAUGGUAAGUAUGUAUGUAAACAUAUCUAAACAUUGAAACAGUACAGUAAAAGCAUGAUAUAAAAGAUUAAAAAAUGGUACACUGCUAUAGGGUACUUACAUAAAUGCAGCUUGCAGGACCCAAAGUUGCCCUGAGUGAGUCAAUGAGUGAGUAGUGAGUAGAUGUGAAGGCCUAGGACAUUACCGUACACUAUUGCAGACCUUAUAAACACUAUACAUUUAGGCUACAUGCAUUUUAUAAAAACGUAUUUUUCUUCAGUUAUCAGCCUUAGCUCACCAUACUUUUUUACUUUAUAAUUUUUUGGCUAUUUUGUAUUAACAGCUUAAAACACAAAACACAUUGUGCAGUUUUGGAAAAAUAUUUUUUUCUUUAAGUUUAUUCUAUUUUUUAAAUUAUUUUUACUUUUAAAGCUUUUUUUGUUAAAAACUGAGACAUAGGCUGGGCACAGUGGCUCAUGCCUGUAAUUCCAGCACUUUGGGAAGCCGAGGAGGGUGGAUCACAAGGUCAAGAGAUUGAGACCAUCCUGGCCAACAUGGCGAAACCCCAUCUCUACUAAAAAUACAAAAAAUUAGCCAGGCGUGGUAACACACGCCUGUAGUUCCAGCUACUCAGGAGAAUCGCUUGAACCCAGGAAGCACAGGUUGCAGUGAGCAAAGACUGCCACACUGCACUCCAGCCUGGCGACAGAGCAAGACUUCAUCUCCAAAACAAAAACAAAUACAAAAACAAAACAGAUAUAAACACACACAAUAGCCUAGGCCUACAUGGGAUCAUUAAUAUCACUGUCUUCCACCUCCAUGUCUUGUCCCACUAAAAGGUUUACAAUGUCACUAGGCAAUAGGAAUUUUUCAGCGCCAUUGUAAUCUUAUGGGAUCAACGUUGUACAUGUGGUCCAUUGUUGACUGAAACAUUGCU